Molecule: transfer RNA, 77 nt
Filed under: Thermoplasmatales archaeon
Lineage: Archaea; Methanobacteriati; Thermoplasmatota; Thermoplasmata; Thermoplasmatales
Also listed under: 1 other name
Description: tRNA-Ile
Rfam family: tRNA
About the family: Transfer RNA (tRNA) molecules are approximately 80 nucleotides in length.
Source: RNAcentral
GGGCCUGUAGCUUAGGCUGGUGGAGCGUCCGGCUCAUAACCGGACGGUCGUCGGUUCAAAUCCGGCCAGGCCCACCA